This 887-nucleotide ribosomal RNA is filed under the name uncultured bacterium. RNAcentral describes it as "bacterial SSU rRNA". It matches the Rfam family "Bacterial small subunit ribosomal RNA", at positions 27 to 897 of the family's 1533-position model. The record is from RNAcentral.
GAACAAACGCUGGCGGCGUGCCUAACACAUGCAAGUCAAACGGUUUUGUAGCAAUACAGAGCAGUGGCGCACGGGUGAGUAAUGCAUGGGAAUUCUCCAAGUGGAGAGGGAUACCUACGGGAAACUGUAGUUAAUACUUCGUAAGCAGGGUUCGCAAGGAUCCUGGAAACAUGGGGACUAAAGCGAUUUAGCCUAUGGCCAUUUGAUAAGCUCAUGUCCCAUUAGCUAGUUGGUGAGGUAACGGCCCACCAAGGCGAGGAUGGGUAGCUGGUCUGAGAGGACGAUCAGCCACACUGGAACUGAGACACGGUCCAGACUCCUACGGGAGGCAGCAGUGGGGAAUAUUGCGCAAUGGACGAAAGUCUGACGCAGCAACGCCGCGUGAGUGAAGAAGGCCUUCGGGUUGUAAAGCUCUUUCGGUUGGGAAGAAGGGUGUAAAAGUGAAUAAUUUUUGCAUUUGAUGGUACCAAAAGAAGAAGCACCGGCAAACUUCGUGCCAGCAGCCGCGGUAAUACGAAGGGUGCAAGCGUUGUUCGGAAUUAUUGGGCGUAAAGGGUUCGUAGGCGGGAUUGUAAGUCAAGUGUGAAAUCCCCGAGCUUAACUCGGGACGUGCAUUUGAAACUGUGAUUCUUGAGUCAUUGAGAGGGUGGUGGAAUUGUUGGUGUAGGAGUGACAUCCGUAGAGAUCAACAGGAACAUCAGAGGCGAAAGCGGCCACCUGGCAAUGUACUGACGCUGAGGAACGAAAGCGUGGGGAGCAAACAGGAUUAGAUACCCUGGUAGUCCACGCCAUAAACGAUGAUAACUAGGUGUUGGGGGAGUUGACCCCCUCAGUACCGUAGCUCACGCGCUAAGUUAUCCGCCUGGGGAGUGCGGCCGCAAGGCUAA